ACCUGCCUGAACUGAUGUGUUCAUUUCAAAGAUUAAGCCAUGCAUGUGUAAGUUUAACCUGCCAGACAGGGAAACUGCGUACGGCUCAUUACACCAGCUAUAAUUUACUUGACCUUGACUUCUUACUUGGAUAACUGUGGUAAUUCUAGAGCUAAUACAUGCACCAAAGCUCCAAUCUCCCCAGAGCGGAGCGCAUUUGUUCGCCACAAAACCAAGCGCCCUCCGGGCGUCCAGUGUUGACUCAGAACAACUAAGCUGAUCGCACGGUCUUGUACCGGCGACGUGUCUUUCAAGUGUCUGCCUUAUCAACUUUCGAUGGUAGUGUAUCUGACUACCAUGGUGAUGACGGGUAACGGAGGAUAAGGGUUCGACUCCGGAGAAGGGGCCUGAGAAAUGGCCACUACGUCUAAGGAUGGCAGCAGGCGCGCAAAUUACCCACUCUCAACGCGAGGAGGUAGUGACGAGAAAUAACGAGACCGAUCUCUUAUGAGGCCGGUCAUCGGAAUGGGUACAAUUUAAACCCUUUAACGAGUAUCUAUGAGAGGGCAAGUCUGGUGCCAGCAGCCGCGGUAAUUCCAGCUCUCAAAAUGCAUAGAAUUAUUGCUGCGGUUAAAAAGCUCGUAGUUGGAUCUGUGCUAGCCGUCCGGUGCACACUUUGUGUGUUACUGGUUUGGUUGGCUUUUCUGCCGGUCUNUCCCCGGCGUUGGCCUUUACCGGUCGGCGUCGGUGGGCUGGCGAGUUUACUUUGAACAAAUCAGAGUGCUUCAAACAGGCGUUUCGCUUGAAUGUUCGUGCAUGGAAUAAUAGAAGAGGAUUUCGGUCCGAUUUUAUUGGUUUUGCUGACCGAGAUAAUGGUUAACAGAGACAAACGGGGCCAUUCGUAUUGCUACGUGAGAGGUGAAAUUCUUGGACCGUAGCAAGACGGACUACAGCGAAAGCAUUUGGCAAGAAUGUCUUCAUUAAUCAAGAACGAAAGUCAGAGGUUCGAAGGCGAUCAGAUACCGCCCAU
This 1009-nucleotide ribosomal RNA is filed under the name Heterodera glycines (soybean cyst nematode). RNAcentral's name for it is "SSU rRNA". It matches the Rfam family "Eukaryotic small subunit ribosomal RNA", at positions 12 to 1021 of the family's 1831-position model. The record is from RNAcentral. Lineage: Eukaryota; Metazoa; Nematoda; Chromadorea; Rhabditida; Heteroderidae.